GAGUUUGAUCGUGGCUCAGAUUGAACGCUGGCGGCAUGCCUUACACAUGCAAGGUCGAACGGCAGCACGGGAGCUUGCUCCUGGUGGCGAGUGGCGAACGGGUGAGUAAUGCAUCGGAACGUAUCCUGGAGUGGGGGAUAACGUAGCGAAAGUUACGCUAAUACCGCAUAUUCUGUGAGCAGGAAAGCGGGGGACCUUCGGGCCUUCGCGCUCUUGGAGCGGCCGAUGUCGGAUUAGCUAGUUGGUGAGGUAAAGGCUCACCAAGGCGACGAUCCGUAGCAGGUCUGAGAGGAUGAUCUGCCACACUGGAACUGAGACACGGUCCAGACUCCUACGGGAGGCAGCAGUGGGGAAUUUUGGACAAUGGGGGCAACCCUGAUCCAGCCAUGCCGCGUGAGUGAAGAAGGCCUC
RNAcentral lists this ribosomal RNA (411 nucleotides) under bacterium enrichment culture clone ALO1_GLFRUDD03G9ZPJ. RNAcentral describes it as "bacterial SSU rRNA". It matches the Rfam family "Bacterial small subunit ribosomal RNA", at positions 9 to 418 of the family's 1533-position model. The record is from RNAcentral.